GGCUCGGUGGCUGAAUUUAAGUGGGAGCCUUUUAAGCUUCUUAUGGGUUUCCCCCGGGUGA
RNAcentral lists this transfer RNA (61 nucleotides) under Idotea baltica. RNAcentral's name for it is "tRNA-Lys". The record is from RNAcentral. Lineage: Eukaryota; Metazoa; Arthropoda; Malacostraca; Isopoda; Idoteidae.